UAAGGAAUAUUGGACAAUGGAGGCAACUCUGAUCCAGCCAUGCCGCGUGAAGGAAUAAGGCCCUAUGGGUUGUAAACUUCUUUUAGACGGGACAAAACCCCUUUACGUGUAAAGGGUUGAUGGUACUGUCAGAAUAAGCAUCGGCUAACUUCGUGCCAGCAGCCGCGGUAAUACGAAGGAUGCAAGCGUUAUCCGGAAUUAUUGGGUUUAAAGGGUGCGUAGGCGGACUAAUAAGUCAGUGGUGAAAGCCUGCAGCUUAACUGCAGACUUGCCAUUGAUACUGUGAGUCUUGAGUACAGUUGAGGUAGGCGGAAUGUGUCAUGUAGCGGUGAAAUGCUUAGAUAUGACACAGAACACCGAUUGCGAAGGCAGCUUGCUAAGCUGUAACUGACGCUGGGGCACGAAAGCGUGGGGAGCAAACA
This 422-nucleotide ribosomal RNA is filed under the name uncultured bacterium. RNAcentral describes it as "bacterial SSU rRNA". It matches the Rfam family "Bacterial small subunit ribosomal RNA", at positions 355 to 774 of the family's 1533-position model. The record is from RNAcentral.